UACGGGGAGGGCAAGCGUUGUUCGGAAUUACUGGGCGUAAAGGGCUCGUAGGCGGCCAACUAAGUCGGACGUGAAAUCCCCAGGCUCAACCUGGGAACUGCGUCCGAUACUGGAUGGCUUGAAUCCGGGAGAGGGAUGCAGAAUUCCAGGUGUAGCGGUGAAAUGCGUAGAUAUCUGGAGGAAUACCGGUGGCGAAGGCGGCAUCCUGGACCGGCAUUGACGCUGAGGAGCGAAAGCCAGGGGAGCAAACGGG
This 253-nucleotide ribosomal RNA is filed under the name uncultured bacterium. Its description in RNAcentral is "partial 16S ribosomal RNA". It matches the Rfam family "Bacterial small subunit ribosomal RNA", at positions 524 to 776 of the family's 1533-position model. The record is from RNAcentral.